This is a long non-coding RNA of Labrus mixtus (cuckoo wrasse), 885 nucleotides long. RefSeq lists it as uncharacterized. Lineage: Eukaryota; Metazoa; Chordata; Actinopteri; Labriformes; Labridae. The record is from RefSeq and is a predicted model, not a curated record. The transcript is spliced from 2 exons.
UUUUUAUUGUAUUUACAUUAGUACUGUACGUUGUUUAUUGCAGCGACUCAGCUUGUUCUGCAUUGUAUAUCACCUCCUUGAUGUGAUUAAAAAUUCAAUGAGCAAUUGUAAGUAUCAAUGACAUCACAGACUGCUAUAGUUACUUUUACUACAAAAACCCAGGUGAUAAUCACAUGUUUGUUGGAUCAAUAUCUCAUGCAAUAAUGUUUCCUCCUCUGUCAUUAUUUUCCUUCUUAUUGAACAUUAUUUCAUUUUAAUCAGUAUCUUCUUCUUUCAUCAGGAGAAUGAAUCAGCUGCCUGUUCCUUGUACCAAAAACAUCCAGGACUGUUUAAACUCAUAUACACUUCAAAACAUCCACAGCAUCUUCAGAGGAGAACAUCACGGAGAACUGCAGAAGAGCUGUGCAGACACUUGGCAGCUCAUCGCAGCUUUGUGAGCCGGUGCUGGAGAUACUCGGGGACACAACUGCUGAGUAGUUAUCCUGUCGUGUGUCAUCCUGAGGAUACGCCUCGAGUUUCCUGACCCGACUGGACAGUAUUUUGGCUUCGGCCCGCCCCUUGACUACACCUGGACAUGUGUCGAGCCACCACUCCUUCUUUUGAGAGCCAGGUAUUUUCUGCAGCUCUUCCAUGAAUGGUUCUGGUUCCUGAAACAUCUCCUCCAACACCAGUGUCAUCAAGUCCCCGACAGAUUCUCUAAAAAAGUAAUUCAAGAACAAAAAUCUAUUUCAUAAUGUUUGGUUAUUACUCAUUUUUCACACUCAUCUGUUUUUUGGAAAUGGUUAAAAAGACUUUGAAGGUAUAUUUAAAUAGGUAUUUAUCACUUUAAAGGUUUAAAAAUAGAUUGUGCUUUUGGGUUUAAAAAAUAAAAGAAUUUGUAACUCA